UUUAACUUGGCAGAAUUAAUGUAAUUGAUUUAGGGUCAAUCAAUACCAUAGUGGUAGUUAUAA
This 63-nucleotide transfer RNA is filed under the name Gastrocopta cristata. RNAcentral describes it as "tRNA-Leu". The record is from RNAcentral. Lineage: Eukaryota; Metazoa; Mollusca; Gastropoda; Stylommatophora; Pupillidae.